This 254-nucleotide ribosomal RNA is filed under the name uncultured bacterium. Its description in RNAcentral is "partial 16S ribosomal RNA". It matches the Rfam family "Bacterial small subunit ribosomal RNA", at positions 524 to 776 of the family's 1533-position model. The record is from RNAcentral.
UACGGGGGGAGCAAGCGUUGUUCGGAUUUACUGGGCGUAAAGGGCGCGUAGGCGGCCCCCGCAAGUCGGUUGUGAAAUCUCUGGGCUUAACCCAGAAAGGUCAACCGAUACUGCGGGGCUAGAGUGCAGAAGGGGCAACUGGAAUUCUCGGUGUAGCGGUGAAAUGCGUAGAUAUCGAGAGGAACACCUGCGGCGAAGGCGGGUUGCUGGGCUGACACUGACGCUGAAGCGCGAAAGCUAGGGGAGCGAACGGG